RNAcentral lists this ribosomal RNA (279 nucleotides) under uncultured bacterium. RNAcentral describes it as "partial 16S ribosomal RNA". It matches the Rfam family "Bacterial small subunit ribosomal RNA", at positions 506 to 784 of the family's 1533-position model. The record is from RNAcentral.
UGCCAGCCGCCGCGGUAAUACGGAGGGUGCAAGCGUUGUUCGGAAUUAUUGGGCGUAAAGCGCGUGUAGGCGGUUCGUUAAGUCUGAUGUGAAAGCCCGAGGCUCAACCUCGGAAUAGCGCUUGAUACUGAACUGCUUGAGACCGGAAGAGGGUAGUGGAAUUCCCAGUGUAGAGGUGAAAUUCGUAGAUAUCGGAAGGAACACCAGUGGCGAAGGCGACUUCCUGGGCCAAUACUGACGCUGAGGUGCGAAAGCGUGGGGAGCAAACAGGAUUAGAUA